CGCGCAGGCGGUUCCUUAAGUCUGAUGUGAAAGCCCACGGCUCAACCGUGGAGGGUCAUUGGAAACUGGGGAGCUUGAGGACAGAAGAGGAGAGUGGAAUUCCACGUGUAGCGGUGAAAUGCGUAGAUAUGUGGAGGAACACCAGUGGCGAAGGCGACUCUCUGGUCUGUUUCUGACGCUGAGGUGCGAAAGCGUGGGUAGCAAACA
This 207-nucleotide ribosomal RNA is filed under the name uncultured bacterium. RNAcentral describes it as "partial 16S ribosomal RNA". It matches the Rfam family "Bacterial small subunit ribosomal RNA", at positions 568 to 774 of the family's 1533-position model. The record is from RNAcentral.